CCCUGGUUAGCUCAGUUGGUAGAGCGCUCCACCGGUAAUGGAGAGGUCCCGGGUUCGAUACCCGGACCAGGCG
This 73-nucleotide transfer RNA is filed under the name Ixodes scapularis (black-legged tick). RNAcentral describes it as "tRNA-Thr". It matches the Rfam family "tRNA". From Rfam's summary of the family: Transfer RNA (tRNA) molecules are approximately 80 nucleotides in length. Their secondary structure includes four short double-helical elements and three loops (D, anti-codon, and T loops). Lineage: Eukaryota; Metazoa; Arthropoda; Arachnida; Ixodida; Ixodidae. The record is from RNAcentral.